UAAGGAAUAUUGGUCAAUGGACGCAAGUCUGAACCAGCCAUGCCGCGUGGAGGAUGAAGGUCCUCUGGAUUGUAAACUUCUUUUAUCUGGGAAGAAAUCCACUUUUUCUAGAAUGGUUGACGGUACCAGAUGAAUAAGCACCGGCUAACUCCGUGCCAGCAGCCGCGGUAAUACGGAGGGUGCAAGCGUUAUCCGGAUUCACUGGGUUUAAAGGGUGCGUAGGUGGGCAAGUAAGUCAGUGGUGAAAUCUCCGGGCUUAACCCGGAAACUGCCAUUGAUACUAUUUGUCUUGAAUACUGUGGAGGUCAGCGGAAUAUGUCAUGUAGCGGUGAAAUGCUUAGAUAUGACAUAGAACACCAAUUGCGAAGGCAGCUGGCUACACAAAUAUUGACACUGAGGCACGAAAGCGUGGGGAUCAAACAGGAUUAGAUACCCUGGUAGUCCACGCCCUAAACUAUGGAUACUCGACAUUUGCGAU
RNAcentral lists this ribosomal RNA (478 nucleotides) under uncultured Bacteroidota bacterium. Its description in RNAcentral is "bacterial SSU rRNA". It matches the Rfam family "Bacterial small subunit ribosomal RNA", at positions 355 to 830 of the family's 1533-position model. The record is from RNAcentral. Lineage: Bacteria; Pseudomonadati; Bacteroidota.